This 373-nucleotide ribosomal RNA is filed under the name uncultured organism. RNAcentral's name for it is "partial 16S ribosomal RNA". It matches the Rfam family "Bacterial small subunit ribosomal RNA", at positions 527 to 896 of the family's 1533-position model. The record is from RNAcentral.
GUAGGUGGCAAGCGUUGUCCGGAAUUAUUGGGCGUAAAGCGCGCGCAGGUGGUUCUUUAAGUCUGAUGUGAAAGCCCCCGGGCUCAACCGGGGAGGGUCAUUGGAAACUGGGGAACUUGAGUGCAGGAGAGGAAAGUGGAAUUCCACGUGUGGCGGUGAAAUGCGUAGAUAUGUGGAGGAACACCAGUGGCGAAGGCGACUUUCUGGCCUGUAACUGACACUGAGGCGCGAAAGCGUGGGGAGCAAACAGGAUUAGAUACCCUGGUAGUCCACGCCGUAAACGAUGAGUGCUAAGUGUUGGGGGGUUUCCGCCCCUCAGUGCUGCAGCUAACGCAUUAAGCACUCCGCCUGGGGAGUACGGUCGCAAAGACUG